This 465-nucleotide ribosomal RNA is filed under the name uncultured bacterium. RNAcentral's name for it is "partial 16S ribosomal RNA". It matches the Rfam family "Bacterial small subunit ribosomal RNA", at positions 28 to 507 of the family's 1533-position model. The record is from RNAcentral.
GACGAACGCUGGCGGCGUGCUUAACACAUGCAAGUCGAACGGAAAGGCCCUGCUUGCAGGGUACUCGAGUGGCGAACGGGUGAGUAACACGUGGGUGAUCUGCCCUGCACUUCGGGAUAAGCCUGGGAAACUGGGUCUAAUACCGGAUAGGAGCCAUUUUUAGUGUGAUGGUUGGAAAGUUUUUUCGGUGUAGGAUGAGCUCGCGGCCUAUCAGCUUGUUGGUGGGGUAAUGGCCUACCAAGGCGGCGACGGGUAGCCGGCCUGAGAGGGUGGACGGCCACAUUGGGACUGAGAUACGGCCCAGACGCCUACGGGAGGCAGCAGUGGGGAAUAUUGCACAAUGGGCGCAAGUCUGAUGCAGCGACGCCGCGUGGGGGAUGACGGCCUUCGGGUUGUAAACUCCUUUCGCUAGGGACGAAGCUUUUUGUGACGGUACCUAGAUAAGAAGCACCGGCUAACUACGUG